This 1503-nucleotide long non-coding RNA is filed under the name Homo sapiens (human). RNAcentral describes it as "HSALNT0378193". The record is from RNAcentral. Lineage: Eukaryota; Metazoa; Chordata; Mammalia; Primates; Hominidae.
UAUGGCCUGGAAAUAUAAAAAGAAAUUAAGAAAAAAGCUAGGGAUAUACUCAUCUGUUUUAUCAUACAUUAUGAUAAAAUACAUACAAAUCUAUUAUAAAAAGUUAAAAUUUCUCAAAACUUUCAAACCCAAAUACAGACUGCACAUGUACCAUUCACAGUCAAGAGAAAUGUGAGCAAACAUAAAGUAUUAAAUCAUUACUGCAUACAAUUAACUGUACAUACUGUAUUACUGCAAAAAUGUCAUAGCCAGCUCCUGUUGCUUUUGUGCUAAGCUCAGGUGUUGCAAGUAUCUGCUUAAAAUUUCAUGUCACUAAUUAUCUCUGUAUAAGCAGUUUGUGUCUCCAGUAAAUUCCAUAUGACAGUAAAAAGUGACCUCUCACUGUUCUCACAUAUUUUUCAUUAUAUUUAGUGCAAUACUGUAAACCUUGAAUAACACCAUGGGAUCUAUACAAAGUGCCAUUAGUGUUGCUGAAAGUGCUCCCAAGAAGCAGAGAAAAAUCAUGACAGGAAAAAGUUGAACUGCUUGAUGUUUACCAUAGAUGGAGGUCUGCAGCUGCGAUUGCCUGCCAUUUCAAGAUAAAUGAAUCUAGUGCAAGGCCCAUUGUUAAAAAAGAAAGAAAAUUCAUGAGGCUGUCACUGCAGCUACACCAGCAGAUACAAAUUUCCCACCAUUCUGGAUUCUGACACCCAACAGAAAGACUGUUAUUUGGCAUCAUGUGAAUUAGCCAGGAGACCUCUAAUUUCCAGCCAUUUCCUCUGGUCUGACCCCUAAACUCAGCUCAUCUGGUUUCUCGUUUCUGAGGGGACAAACACUUCCUAAAAGGCAGACCCUCUGGGGUUCUGAGGAGACCGUCCCUGACAUUGUUUUUACUUCAAGACUACAAGCGAAUGAAAAACAGCUACCUCUCACAAGAGGGCUGGAGCCCUUGAUACAGAACAGAUCUCCAACUGGCUUUUGGACUAAAAUAACUGAACCAACAAGAUAUUUUAGAGGUGAUUAUUUGUUGCAUUUCUCAAAUUAUGAUGAAUUUUAUAGACCCAUAUCUCAUAGGUAUAUCUGUCUUAAUCCUAAAUUAGGGAUUAGUACACUUUUUUUUCCCACAAAUCAUUUUAAGUGUGGAAAUAAUCCCAUAAAUCCCAUCACCCCAUAAGGUUAACUCAUCAAAAUCCUUUCAUCGAGGACUAGGAUUAUACUCUAUCCCAAAUCAAGCCAAGUAAAUAUAGAUGAUGCCAGACCACUAAACAAUGUUUUCUAGAACUCUAAAAGUGCAGAGUAAAUAUCCCUCCUUGGGCCACAUGUGUGGUCUGGUAUGAAGAAAGAGCUUUGGAGGAUGGAAUAUAAGCACUAAUGCUCACUGGCUGUGGGGUCCAGGUGAGUCACUUACACUCCCAGGAAGUCAGUGCCCAAUGUCAUGAGAACUUACUAAAGCCCAUGGCUCAUAACAGAGUAUGGUGGACAAUAAAGAGUAGCUGUAAAUUUUUAUUGGCUGGAAAACUCUUA